RNAcentral lists this ribosomal RNA (519 nucleotides) under uncultured bacterium. RNAcentral describes it as "bacterial SSU rRNA". It matches the Rfam family "Archaeal small subunit ribosomal RNA", at positions 345 to 866 of the family's 1478-position model. The record is from RNAcentral.
AACCUCCGCAAUGUGAGAAAUCGCGACGGGGGGAUCCCAAGUGCCAUUCUUAACGGGAUGGCUUUUCAUUAGUGUAAAGAGCUUUUGGAAUAAGAGCUGGGCAAGACCGGUGCCAGCCGCCGCGGUAACACCGGCAGCUCUAGUGGUAGCAAUUUUUAUUGGGCCUAAAGCGUCCGUAGCCGGUUUAAUAAGUCUCUGGUGAAAUCCCGCAGCUUAACUGUGGGAAUUGCUGGAGAUACUAUUAGACUUGAGACCGGGAGAGGUUAGAGGUACUCCCAGGGUAGAGGUGAAAUUCUGUAAUCCUGGGAGGACCGCCUGUUGCGAAGGCGUCUAACUGGAACGGUUCUGACGGUGAGGGACGAAAGUUAGGGGCGCGAACCGGAUUAGAUACCCGGGUAGUCCUAACUGUAAACGAUGCGGACUUGGUGUUGGGGUGGCUUUGAGCUGCUUCAGUGCCGAAGGGAAGCUGUAAGUCCGCCGCCUGGGAGUACGGUCGCAAGGCUGAAACUUAAAGGAAUU